This 551-nucleotide ribosomal RNA is filed under the name uncultured Flavobacteriia bacterium. RNAcentral describes it as "bacterial SSU rRNA". It matches the Rfam family "Bacterial small subunit ribosomal RNA", at positions 35 to 582 of the family's 1533-position model. Lineage: Bacteria; Pseudomonadati; Bacteroidota; Flavobacteriia. The record is from RNAcentral.
GCUAGCGGCAGGCCUAACACAUGCAAGUCGAGGGGUAACAGGAAAGCUUGCUUUUGCUGACGACCGGCGCACGGGUGCGUAACGCGUAUGCAACCUACCUCGUACUGGAGCAUAGCCCUUGGAAACGGGGAUUAAUACUCCAUGGUAUCAUGAAUUCGCAUGUUUUCAUGAUUAAAGAAUUUCGGUAUGAGAUGGGCAUGCGUCCCAUUAGCUAGUUGGUGAGGUAACGGCUCACCAAGGCGACGAUGGGUAGGGGGCCUGAGAGGGUGGUCCCCCACACUGGUACUGAGACACGGACCAGACUCCUACGGGAGGCAGCAGUGAGGAAUAUUGGUCAAUGGAGGCAACUCUGAACCAGCCAUGCCGCGUGAAGGAUGACGGCCCUAUGGGUUGUAAACUUCUUUUAUAUGGGAAGAAACUUAUCUACGUGUAGAUAACUGACGGUACCAUACGAAUAAGGAUCGGCUAACUCCGUGCCAGCAGCCGCGGUAAUACGGAGGAUCCAAGCGUUAUCCGGAUUCAUUGGGUUUAAAGGGUCCGUAGGCGGAUUU